AUUCAACUGGCGAGUCCCAAAUAGGACGAGACGCGCGUCUUAGAU
Schistosoma mattheei is the source of this 45-nucleotide non-coding RNA. The record is from Rfam. Lineage: Eukaryota; Metazoa; Platyhelminthes; Trematoda; Strigeidida; Schistosomatidae.